AUGUUACCUAGACCUUCAGGUACAUGUCAUGAAACAUGCAAGCAUCUCAACACGCUGGGCGCCAAGGCCGUGCUGGCCUUCUUGACCACCAUGCCGCUCUCGGAGAUCGCCUUCGCCUUCCUGCUCCUCCCCUACCUUCUCCUGGCCACGCUCGCCUUCCCGCAGCACCCCGCGAAGCCCAACCCGUCCUUCCCCGUCUUCCUCGGCCUCGCGCGCCUCCUCCUCGCCGCGCACACCGUGGGCGGGUUCCUCGUUGGUGCCGCGCUCCCGGCGCUCUAUGUCCUCGACGGCCUCUGGUCCGGGGACACCACGGGGAUCAUUGCCGCAGCCCCGCACGCAUUCCUGCUCUCCGCGCAGGUCUUCAUCGAGGGGCUCACCGCCGCGCUCCCGUGGCGGUUCUCGCUCCCCGUCAGGGCCGCCGUACCGGUCAUGUACAGCACGCGCAGGAUGUUCGUGGCAGGGGAGUGGCUCCGGCAGGAGAUGGAGGGGGUGACUGCGGCGACGGGAAGGGAAGGGGGCGGAGCAGCAUGA
RNAcentral lists this ribosomal RNA (531 nucleotides) under Triticum aestivum (bread wheat). RNAcentral describes it as "partial small subunit ribosomal RNA". Lineage: Eukaryota; Viridiplantae; Streptophyta; Magnoliopsida; Poales; Poaceae. The record is from RNAcentral.